This 253-nucleotide ribosomal RNA is filed under the name uncultured bacterium. Its description in RNAcentral is "partial 16S ribosomal RNA". It matches the Rfam family "Bacterial small subunit ribosomal RNA", at positions 524 to 776 of the family's 1533-position model. The record is from RNAcentral.
UACGGAGGGAGCUAGCGUUGUUCGGAAUUACUGGGCGUAAAGCGCACGUAGGCGGCUUUGUAAGUUAGAGGUGAAAGCCCGGGGCUCAACCCCGGAAUUGCCUUUAAGACUGCAUCGCUUGAAUCCGGGAGAGGUGAGUGGAAUUCCGAGUGUAGAGGUGAAAUUCGUAGAUAUUCGGAAGAACACCAGUGGCGAAGGCGGCUCACUGGACCGGUAUUGACGCUGGGGUGCGAAAGCGUGGGGAGCAAACAGG